AAUGGUAUAAUUUUUGGUAACAUCAAAAAUAGAUAACAUUAUCAUUGCAUACGCCAGAGUGAGUCAGUUGUCGUGCUUCAAAAUGCUUGAAAAUUUGGGACUUUUGAUUACUACUGGAAUAUGUUUCAUUAUUUAUUUAAUGUUCAAAUAUUUUAUGGAAGAGCGUAAUAAGCUAUUAGUAGAUUUGGAAAAUGCCCGAACAGCUGAACUGUUGAUGAAGGACGAAAUUAAAGAUAUAAAAAUUAAGGCCUGCGAAGAAAAAAUAAACGUCUUGGAGGAUAAAGUGUCGACUCUUAAUAAGCAAGUUAAAUAUAAUAAGGAGCAACUCAAGAACUCGAAGGAAGAAAGAUCGUGUCCAAUAUCUUGAUUUGUUAAGUGAGUCUUACCCGGGUUAACUGCUACCUUAAAUUAAUAUAUAUGAUUUGGCUAAUUG
This 433-nucleotide unclassified non-coding RNA is filed under the name Drosophila virilis. RNAcentral's name for it is "GJ26394". Lineage: Eukaryota; Metazoa; Arthropoda; Insecta; Diptera; Drosophilidae. The record is from RNAcentral.